UGGUAAGACGCAUUAUCGCUCCGUUGCCUUGCGCGGCGGAGAGGAAAGUCCGGACAGGACAGAGCGCUGCGCUGUUGAAAAACAGAUGUCCCGUAAGGGUAUGGAAAUGUAACAGAAAACAACCGCCAUUCCGCGAGGAGUGGCAAGGGUGAAAAGGCGAGGUAAGAGCUCACCGCGUUUUGUGGCAACACAGACGGUCGGUACACCCCGCAGCCUGCAAGACCGCGUAUAUCGGCGUCAAGGGUUGCUCGCCCGUGCCGAGGGGUAGGUCGCAUCAGAUAAAUGAUAAUGGAUCACAGAAUCCGGCUUACAGUCAUGACCAUCAC
RNAcentral lists this RNase P RNA (326 nucleotides) under Prevotellaceae bacterium. RNAcentral's name for it is "RNase P RNA component class A". It matches the Rfam family "Bacterial RNase P class A". Rfam says of the family: Ribonuclease P (RNase P) is a ubiquitous endoribonuclease, found in archaea, bacteria and eukarya as well as chloroplasts and mitochondria. Lineage: Bacteria; Pseudomonadati; Bacteroidota; Bacteroidia; Bacteroidales; Prevotellaceae. The record is from RNAcentral.